ACAGAAGGCGGUGAAAGGGCAGGAAGGGGUGGAGAGGUGGCGGCGUCGUCGUCCGCAGGAAGUGCUGCUGCAGCUCAGGGCCCUGGAAGGAGAGAGGAGGGCGGCUCUUGCUCUGUGGUGCCCGUCGCCAGGAUCAUGGCUGCUAGAAACCAAGGCACGGAGCUAGACCUCGGUUGGCUUGCAAGAGUUCGGGUGAAUCAGCCAGCAGUCCUAAGGAGUGCAGAGCAAAUUCGGACAUGCAGGGCUGUGAAAAAGGAUUGGCAGGCAGCUUGGCUUCUGAGGGCCGUCACCUGCAUAGACCUUACCACCCUUUCAGGCGAUGAUACCCCUUCCAAUGUCUACAGGUUGUGUUAUAAAGCCAAACAUCCCAUCAGAGAGGAUCUGUUGCAAGCAGUGAACAUGCAUGAUAAAGGCAUUACAACUGCUGCUGUUUGUGUCUAUCCAGCUAGAGUAGGUGAUGCUGUUAAAGCACUCAGGGCAGCUGGCUGCAACAUUCCAGUUGCUUCAGUGGCUACUGGGUUCCCAGCAGGACAGACAGCUCUGAAAACUCGCUUAGAGGAGAUCCAACUAGCUGUGGAAGAUGGUGCCAGAGAGAUUGACGUUGUCAUUAACAGAACCUUAGUACUGACGGGACAAUGGGAAGGCCUCUAUGAGGAAAUCCGUCAGUUCCGUCAAGCCUGUGGAGACGCUCAUAUGAAAACCAUCUUGGGAACUGGAGAGCUGGGAUCCCUCACUAAUGUCUACAAAGCCAGUCUUGUAGCUAUGAUGGCAGGUUCUGAUUUUAUUAAGACCUCUACAGGAAAAGAAGCUGUUAAUGCUAUCAUUCCGGUAGGGCUGGUUAUGGCAAGAGCCAUUCGAGACUUCCACUGGAAAACUGGCUAUAAGGUUGGAUUUAAGCCUGCAGGAGGCAUUCGCAGUGCCAAAGAUGCUCUUGUCUGGCUCUCCCUGAUAAAAGAAGAACUUGGGGCUGAGUGGCUGAGACCAGAACUAUUCCGCCUCGGUGCCAGUUCUUUGCUGGGAGAUAUUGAGAGACAGAUUUACCACCAUGUGACUGGCAGAUACGCAGCUUACUAUGACCUGCCUAUGGCUUAGACCAGAGACUAAUUCAGGAUACCUGGGGGGGGAGAGGAGCGGGGGAUACGGAAUCCCUCUCAUAUGUUCUUGAAUCUCUGUCUGCAACCAAACCCAAGGAGUGCUUAACAAAAGGAUUAAAGGGCUGGUGCUCCCAUUUCACGGUUUCAUUGUACUAAGGAGUGUACCCCGUUCUAACGUGGAGGGGAAGACAUGACAACAGGCAAGAGUGAAGGCCCUUCUGUGGCUUGGAAUUUCCAACUGUGUUGAGUACGCAGCGGGAGAAGCAGAGCAUCUAAUACUUUCGGAGGACAAGAAGCUUGGAGCCUUGCUUAGGUCGGUCUGGCGCUCAGUGUCCAAUAUCCUCUGUUUGAGGGUUGUUUUCACCUUGCCACAGGCCAUAGCAAGUAGGAGAGGAGGGGGAAAGCUCAUCAGCACCACUUUAGUCCAGACGGCCCGUUUCCAAGAGGAUUGAAAACUGUCCUGCAGGGUCAAAGGGGCCAGGCCCUGAGGGCUGAAGGAUCGUUUAAGCCAUAGGUUAAGAAUGGUCAUCCACACUCUGGCCUUGACCUUUAUCGUACCAGUUUCCAAUUGCAGGGUAGUAUUAGAGAGACACAGGAUGGAGAUCCAGGAUGGCACUUGUAGGGCCGCUCUUAGAAGUUUGGACUGGACUCAUUCUAGUGAGGCAGAACUGGAGAGGGGACCCGAGUGGGCACUGUAGAGUAAUUGUGCCAGCGGCUUAGCCUCAAAUAAUUUGAGCGCUGCAGGUACAUAUUGGCCACCUCUAGUCCACAGAAACUUCAGGAUGGCAGUUGAUCUCCUCUGUGCAGUAAGGGUGACAUGAUCACAAUGGGCCUUUCUUGAGCCAGAGGCAUGGAGGACCACCCCCCAUGUAUGUAAAACAACCAGCCUCCUUAACCCUGUGGCCAUCAAUACUCCAGGAACAGAUCUUGGGUCUUCUAGCAAAGGCCAUGACUUUUUUGUAAUUUGGUCAUUGAUUUCAAGUUAUGCACUCUUGCAAUACUGAGCUAGCACCGCCAACGCCCUUGAGAAGAUUGCAGCAUCAUCGGUGUAGAGAAGAGUAGAGAUGCUUCUUUCGGCCAGCUUGUGGGGAUGGAAAUCUGGGUUACUAAGGUGGCUCACCAUGUUGUCGAUGUAGAAAUUGAAAAGAAGUGGGGCCAGGAUGCAUCCCUGUUUGACUCCCUUCUGCGUCGAGACAGAGUUCGCGAGGUGUCCUUGAGGGCUACACCUUACCUUGAGGGACAUGUCUGUGUGGAGGCUGCGGGUUAGAUAUCUGAAAUGGUGCAGUCCAUUCUAGCAGUUCAGGACUCUUCUACCUCAUUUGGUUGCAUGCGUAGACCAGGGCUGACUGGGGAACAAGUGGAGGCUUCGGUGCACAUCCUGAGCUUCACCACAAGCAGGAGCUUCCCUAUUCAUUUUCGAAUUGGGGAGUGCUCUGUAUGUGCGUGGCAUCAUUCCCCAUUCUUGUAACUAGUUUGCAGGCAAGUCUGUUGUUCCUGUGGAGCCCCCUUGCACAUAAGAGCCCCACAAAACUCCAGAGUGUAGCACACAAGUCUGCCCAUGAGCACCCAGCCUUUUAUAGUCCAUUUUAAUCCUUCAUAGGGUAAUGAGGGGUGGGGGAGGAACAAAACUGGUAUACAAAUAUUGUAAAUAAAAUAAAUAAAUGGCCAUAAAUGCCUUGAAUCUGCACCUUUUUUUUAAGAAGAAAGUUUCUACUUUGUGAAAUCUUUUAAGUCAUGUUUUCAACUUUGACUUUGCAGAAAUAAAUUGCUUGACAUUUUAAGAACAUAUGUUUAAAUAAAAGUAUAAUCUGUA
This is an RNA transcript of Hemicordylus capensis (graceful crag lizard), 2907 nucleotides long. It is a transcript of the gene named deoxyribose-phosphate aldolase, with no coding region annotated. The record is from RefSeq and is a predicted model, not a curated record. The transcript has 10 exons. NCBI's taxonomy places the organism in Eukaryota, Metazoa, Chordata, Lepidosauria, Squamata, Cordylidae.